RNAcentral lists this ribosomal RNA (308 nucleotides) under uncultured eukaryote. RNAcentral describes it as "partial 18S ribosomal RNA". It matches the Rfam family "Eukaryotic small subunit ribosomal RNA", at positions 1470 to 1796 of the family's 1831-position model. The record is from RNAcentral.
CCCUUAGACGUCCUGGGCCGCACGCGCGCUACACUGACGAAGGCAACGAGCUUUCCUUUACCGAAAGGUACGGGUAAUCUUUUGAAACUUCGUCGUGCUGGGGAUAGAUCCUUGCAAUUUUUGAUCUUAAACGAGGAAUUCCUAGUAAGCGCAAGUCAUCAACUUGCGUUGAUUACGUCCCUGCCCUUUGUACACACCGCCCGUCGCUACUACCGAUUGAAUGGUUUAGUGAGGCCUUCGGAUCCGCGACUCGUUUUGUGGAGAAGUUGGACAAACUCAGUCAUUUAGAGGAAGUAAAAGUCGUAACA